This 423-nucleotide ribosomal RNA is filed under the name uncultured beta proteobacterium. Its description in RNAcentral is "bacterial SSU rRNA". It matches the Rfam family "Bacterial small subunit ribosomal RNA", at positions 608 to 1029 of the family's 1533-position model. The record is from RNAcentral. Lineage: Bacteria; Pseudomonadati; Pseudomonadota; Betaproteobacteria.
CUCAACCUGGGAAUUGCAUUGGAGACUGCAAGGCUAGAAUCUGGCAGAGGGGGGUAGAAUUCCACGUGUAGCAGUGAAAUGCGUAGAUAUGUGGAGGAACACCGAUGGCGAAGGCAGCCCCCUGGGUCAAGAUUGACGCUCAUGCACGAAAGCGUGGGGAGCAAACAGGAUUAGAUACCCUGGUAGUCCACGCCCUAAACGAUGUCUACUAGUUGUCGGGUCUUAAUUGACUUGGUAACGCAGCUAACGCGUGAAGUAGACCGCCUGGGGAGUACGGUCGCAAGAUUAAAACUCAAAGGAAUUGACGGGGACCCGCACAAGCGGUGGAUGAUGUGGAUUAAUUCGAUGCAACGCGAAAAACCUUACCUACCCUUGACAUGGCUGGAAUCCUUGAGAGAUCAGGGAGUGCUCGAAAGAGAACCA